AAAAUCCGUCUUCGUCGCGGUUAAAAAAAAAAAGCCUCUCGGUCGCCAUGGGUUCGCCUCACCCUCACCCACGGGAGGUAGGGGAGACGGGGAGUGGAGGUUGUGGUCGAAAGGGAGCGGAGUGGUGCGGCUGCGGCCUGAUGUUGGUGGUGGAGAGGAAGAGGGCGGCGAGGACGAGGCGGCAGAUUUGCUCGCGGCGUCGGCACCUCGUGAACGUCGACGACCCGCCGGCGCUCUGGUACGACUCCAUGGCGCACUGCCCCGAGUGUGCGGCGGCGGUCAUGCGCGAGACGGCCGUCCACUGCUGCUGCGUUUGACAAGGCGGCGGUCCUCCGGGAGCAGGGUCCCCGAAGCCACCAUGGCGUAGGCGGGCGGAUCCAAUUGAAGGAACACGGUGAGAUUCGCCACAACUUGCAAGUCGCUGGGUUCAGUUUCGGCACUUUUUCAGAUUUGACAAAAAUAAAAUCAAAAGCCACACUCCAGUGAGACUCUUCCAUGAUCACAUCCCUACAGAGGAGUAUGAAACAAACGUCUCCAUAUCAUGCCCACAAAGUGAACAAUUACUUAGUCCCUGCACUUGUCUUCGUUUUAGUUCUGCUGCACACGGCCGCAAGUUCUUCAGAGCCCUCCGUCCCAACACUCACUUGGGCAUCUGAAAGUGUAGAUUUUGUACAAUUAGGCCUUGUUUGGCCUCAAGGGGAGAUGUUCCCAGGGAAGAGUUGCCCUGGGUGGAAUAUUCUUAGCAAAACAGAAUCCCCUUGGAAAAUCCGCUUCACCAUUUCGGAGGAGCAGGGGCUAAUAGCUUCUUCUCGGGUCAACUGCUCAUACUCUUUUUUGACAGGGUGAAUUGCUCAUACUCGUUGCAACCCUUUUUUUCCCCAUCUUCUCAGUAGCCAAUUUGUAUUGUUAGUACCAUGUCAUGCUUUCCUACAUCGUUCUUGUGUUCAAUAGAAAACUCUUAUUCCACUAUUGACAUGCAAAAGUGUUUAAUGACUCACUCUAAUUAGUUACACAUGUGAAAUAUAUGGGAUAUGGCCAACUAUGAUUAGCUGCAUAAUUUUUUCUACAGAAAGCUUAGUAUGUAUGCUGUGCACAAAAAUAUUUUGUCAUCUUCAGUGAGGCAUAAAUGUUAAAAAGAGGCUAGGGGAAUAUGAUUUGUUCAAUGAAUAUGUGCAUAAUUUCUUUUUGGAAAUGUAUUGCACUUUACGUAGCAAAUAAUAUAAAUAUUGAUGGUGAAUAAAAUGGAACAAAUAUUUGGAUAGAAACCAAUGAUUGAAUGGUGGCAGAAGGUUCAGUAUAUGGUAGAAGAUGUGCUAUGCUGUUCCUACCUUGUGCAUAGAAGUACUUCCGUAAUUGUGUUUAAUUUGUGAGCAAAUACUACUCUUUUGAUGCUGAAACUACCACAACAGGGGACGUUUCUGCCUUUCUGGCCUCAUUUACCUGGGCAUGAAGUUAUGUUCUGGUGAAGAAUGUCCAUUAUACAUGGUAUCCAAGCGGUCUUGUUCUCAAAUAAGAGAAGGGUCUUCUCAUGCUGGCCAAUAAGUUAGGGAAAACAUGCAAGGAACGAACGGUCAUGGGGGAUGUUCUUGGGGCUGGGAUGAGAAGCUGUGAUGGACAUUGAUAUACUUCUUGCGGAGUUCGGAGAAGAGGAUGAGCUGGAUUUUAGUGAGGGGAUUUGUGGAAAGUGAGGAGAGUACGUUCUUGAGCUCCUGGAGGACCAGACCAUCCAAAUCUGGAAGGUUUCUGUGAUAUGAAAUACUUAAUCCUUGCGGUGACGGUCAUUUGUUUUUGUGAGCUUCUAACAUAAUGUGAUUUGGCAGCUUUGAGACUUGGGAAGUAUACUGUCGUUGAAACAAGCAACAUCUUGACGUAUUUCAGACUUGGGAAGUAUAGAGUUUUUCUUGCAGUUUAUGAAGUCUGCACUGCAAGAAGUAGAACUUUGACCCCUUAUCAACGGAAGACUCUGGCAGUUACUCAGUUUCUACCAGUUUAGUUACUGAAACCUCUUUUGAAAGUUUUCUCUUGUAAUUUCCUGUACCCUGACUGAAUUUACAUGACUUGCAGCACAGUUCACAGUUAAUGAUAUGAAAAAGAGGAAGCAGCAUUCCACA
Molecule: long non-coding RNA, 2111 nt
Organism: Triticum dicoccoides
Lineage: Eukaryota; Viridiplantae; Streptophyta; Magnoliopsida; Poales; Poaceae
Exons: 3
Source: RefSeq, a predicted model, not a curated record